CAAAGCCGUGAGGUGGAGCUAAUCUCAGAAAACUAUUCUUAGUUCGGAUUGUACUCUGCAACUCGAGUACAUGAAGUUGGAAUCGCUAGUAAUCGCGAAUCAGCAAUGUCGCGGUGAAUACGUUCUCGGGUCUUGUACACACCGCCCGUCACACCACGAGAGUUGGUUGCACCUGAAGUAGCAGGCCUAACCGCAAGGAGGGAUGCUCCGAGGGUGUGAUUAGCGAUUGGGGUGAAGUCGUAACAAGGUAUCCGUACGGGAACGU
RNAcentral lists this ribosomal RNA (265 nucleotides) under uncultured Fusobacterium sp. RNAcentral's name for it is "partial 16S ribosomal RNA". It matches the Rfam family "Bacterial small subunit ribosomal RNA", at positions 1250 to 1513 of the family's 1533-position model. The record is from RNAcentral. Lineage: Bacteria; Fusobacteriati; Fusobacteriota; Fusobacteriia; Fusobacteriales; Fusobacteriaceae.